Molecule: ribosomal RNA, 113 nt
Filed under: Microcebus murinus (gray mouse lemur)
Lineage: Eukaryota; Metazoa; Chordata; Mammalia; Primates; Cheirogaleidae
Source: RNAcentral
UUCUAUGGCCAUACCACUCUGAAUGCACUCCAUCUCCCCUGAUCUUGGAAGCUUGGCAGGGUCAGGCCUGGUUAGUACUUGGAUGGGAAUAUGAAUUCAAUAGACAUUAGAAG